CUCGACUUGAUUCUUCAUAGCGAUUGCUGUUUUUAAAAUCAAACACAACAGGCCAGAAGCUCCUCGCAGAGCCAGUGACUUGACUUAAUCACGAGUUACGAUGUCAAACAGAGUGGUCUACUCAGCUGUGAAAUUCAGGAACUUGGAUCAUAAGAUCAGUGAAACCCAGAGCGAUGUCGUUUAUUCCGAAGUGCGAAUCUGCGGUUCUGUCCCCACGCAACGUGCGCCCAGUUGCGAACAAACAGGCAAGACAGACACGCGGGGUCGCGGGAAGGUUAUUAUCGUAACGUAAUUAAACACAUCUCCUAAGAACCUAAAAGCUGAAAUGAUCCAAAGAAAAGUGUUUCAGAUUUGGAAAGUGUUUCAAUCCC
Long non-coding RNA from Scleropages formosus (Asian bonytongue), 371 nucleotides. RefSeq lists it as uncharacterized. The record is from RefSeq and is a predicted model, not a curated record. The transcript is spliced from 3 exons. Lineage: Eukaryota; Metazoa; Chordata; Actinopteri; Osteoglossiformes; Osteoglossidae.